AGAGUUUGAUCCUGGCUCAGGAUGAACGCUGGCGGCGUGCCUAACACAUGCAAGUCGAACGGAGUUCUUAAGGAAUGCGACUUCGGUCAAAUGACUUUUGAACUUAGUGGCGGACGGGUGAGUAACGCGUGAGCAACCUGCCUUUCAGAGGGGGAUAACAUUUGGAAACAGAUGCUAAUACCGCAUAAGAUUACAGUACCGCAUGAUACAGUGAUCAAAGGAGCAAUCCGCUGAAAGAUGGGCUCGCGUCCGAUUAGAUAGUUGGUGAGGUAACGGCUCACCAAGUCGACGAUCGGUAGCCGGACUGAGAGGUUGAACGGCCACAUUGGGACUGAGACACGGCCCAGACUCCUACGGGAGGCAGCAGUGGGGAAUAUUGCACAAUGGGCGAAAGCCUGAUGCAGCAACGCCGCGUGAGGGAAGACGGUUUUCGGAUUGUAAACCUCUGUUUUCGGUGACGAACAAAUGACGGUAACCGAGUAGGAAGCCACGGCUAACUACGUGCCAGCAGCCGCGGUAAUACGUAGGUGGCAAGCGUUAUCCGGAAUUACUGGGUGUAAAGGGAGCGCAGGCGGGAUAGCAAGUCAGCUGUGAAAACUAUGGGCUCAACCCAUAAACUGCAGUUGAAACUGUUAUUCUUGAGUGGAGUAGAGGCAAGCGGAAUUCCGAGUGUAGCGGUGAAAUGCGUAGAUAUUCGGAGGAACACCAGUGGCGAAGGCGGCUUGCUGGGCUCUAACUGACGCUGAGGCUCGAAAGUGUGG
RNAcentral lists this ribosomal RNA (761 nucleotides) under uncultured bacterium. RNAcentral's name for it is "bacterial SSU rRNA". It matches the Rfam family "Bacterial small subunit ribosomal RNA", at positions 8 to 764 of the family's 1533-position model. The record is from RNAcentral.